This 644-nucleotide ribosomal RNA is filed under the name uncultured bacterium. Its description in RNAcentral is "bacterial SSU rRNA". It matches the Rfam family "Bacterial small subunit ribosomal RNA", at positions 57 to 678 of the family's 1533-position model. The record is from RNAcentral.
GCAAGUCGAACGGAACUUUUAGCUUUUCCGAAAGUUUAGUGGCGAAAGGGUGAGUAACACGUGGGUAACCUGCCCUUAGGCUCGGGAUAACCCGUCGAAAGACGGGCUAAUACCGGAUACGGUCCUAUGUCUUCUGAUAUAGGAAAAAAGAUGGGGAUUCGCAAGAACCUAUCACCUUUGGAUGGGCCCGCGGCCUAUCAGCUAGUUGGUGAGGUAACGGCUCACCAAGGCUAAGACGGGUAGCUGGUCUGAGAGGAUGGUCAGCCACACUGGGACUGAGACACUGCCCAGACACCUACGGGUGGCUGCAGUCGAGAAUCUUUCGCAAUGGGGGCAACCCUGACGAAGCGACGCCGCGUGCAGGAUGACGGCCUUCGGGUUGUAAACUGCUGUCAGCUGGGACGAAAACGUCUCCGGUGAACAAUCGGAGACCUUGACAGUACCAGCAGAGGAAGCCACGGCUAACUCUGUGCCAGCAGCCGCGGUAAUACAGAGGUGGCAAGCGUUGUUCGGAUUUAUUGGGCGUAAAGGGUCCGUAGGCGGUCCGGAAAGUCAGAUGUGAAAUCCCACAGCCUAACUGUGGAACUGCAUUUGAAACUCCCGGGCUUGAGUAUGAGAGGGGGUGAAGGGAAUUCCCGGUGUAA